AUUUCCUAAUGGAUUGGAGCUCCGCAGGAACUUUUUUCUUGUUUUCAAGCGUAUCUGCUGUAACCGUUUUGUUUGUUGCAAAGCUGGUACCGGAGACAAAGGGGCGAACGCUGGAAGAAAUACAAACAUCAUUGAAUCGAUUUUCAGAAAAAUAGAUAAACGGUGCGCCUGCAUUAUGACAUUUGUCAAUCGAUUUCCAGAUGUGGUUUUACCCAUGAUUGAUUGCGCAGUGCAGCAUUGCAGAAGGAAGUAUGCUCUGAAUGUCAGCAAAGCUUUGCAAUUCAAGGAUCUACAGUGGCUCAGAUCCAUGAGACUAAUUUCAUUUUCUUUGUAUUAAACCAGUUGGUGAUUAGCACCUUCGAAAAAUAGUGUAUUUUUUCAUUGGUCCAGGGUUAUAGACUAAAUGCU
This 408-nucleotide small RNA is filed under the name Malus domestica (apple). RNAcentral's name for it is "sRNA MD12G0189500". The record is from RNAcentral. Lineage: Eukaryota; Viridiplantae; Streptophyta; Magnoliopsida; Rosales; Rosaceae.